Molecule: transfer RNA, 60 nt
Filed under: uncultured Isochrysis
Lineage: Eukaryota; Haptophyta; Isochrysidales
Rfam family: tRNA
About the family: Transfer RNA (tRNA) molecules are approximately 80 nucleotides in length. Their secondary structure includes four short double-helical elements and three loops (D, anti-codon, and T loops).
Source: RNAcentral
UGGUAGUUUAGUGGUAGAAUUCCAGUUUCCCAAGCUGGUAGCCGGGGUUCGAUUCCCCGU